AUGAUUCCCAAGUGGGCAGGUACCAUGAUCAUGAAUGCAGUUUUCCCAGGGUAUGGCUUAUCCAUUGCACUCCGUAUGAGCUGACCCCUGCGAUUUCUCCAAAUGCAGGAAACUCCACUGCAUAAUUUGUGAUAGUGGGAAACCAG
Molecule: small nuclear RNA, 146 nt
Organism: Cricetulus griseus (Chinese hamster)
Lineage: Eukaryota; Metazoa; Chordata; Mammalia; Rodentia; Cricetidae
Gene: U1
Rfam family: U1 spliceosomal RNA
About the family: U1 is a small nuclear RNA (snRNA) component of the spliceosome (involved in pre-mRNA splicing). Its 5' end forms complementary base pairs with the 5' splice junction, thus defining the 5' donor site of an intron. There are significant differences in sequence and secondary structure between metazoan and yeast U1 snRNAs, the latter being much longer (568 nucleotides as compared to 164 nucleotides in human).
Source: Ensembl